Molecule: ribosomal RNA, 325 nt
Filed under: uncultured soil bacterium
Lineage: Bacteria
Description: bacterial SSU rRNA
Rfam family: Bacterial small subunit ribosomal RNA
Source: RNAcentral
AGAUUGAACGCUGGCGGCAUGCCUUACACAUGCAAGUCGAACGGCAGCACGGGAGCAAUCCUGGUGGCGAGUGGCGAACGGGUGAGUAAUAUAUCGGAACGUGCCCAGUCGUGGGGGAUAACGCAGCGAAAGCUGUGCUAAUACCGCAUACGAUCUCUGGAUGAAAGCGGGGGACUCGCAAGGGCCUCGCGCGAUUGGAGCGGCCGAUAUCAGAUUAGCUAGUUGGUGGGGUAAAGGCCCACCAAGGCGACGAUCUGUAGCUGGUCUGGAGAGGACGACCAGCCACACUGGAACUGAGACACGGUCCAGACUCCGUACGGGACGC